This 710-nucleotide ribosomal RNA is filed under the name uncultured Pantoea sp. RNAcentral describes it as "bacterial SSU rRNA". It matches the Rfam family "Bacterial small subunit ribosomal RNA", at positions 805 to 1516 of the family's 1533-position model. Lineage: Bacteria; Pseudomonadati; Pseudomonadota; Gammaproteobacteria; Enterobacterales; Erwiniaceae. The record is from RNAcentral.
AACGAUGUCGACUUGGAGGUUGUGCCCUGAGGCGUGGCUUCCGGAGCUAACGCGUUAAGUCGACCGCCUGGGGAGUACGGCCGCAAGGUUAAAACUCAAAUGAAUUGACGGGGGCCCGCACAAGCGGUGGAGCAUGUGGUUUAAUUCGAUGCAACGCGAAGAACCUUACCUGGCCUUGACAUCCAGAGAACUUAGCAGAGAUGCUUUGGUGCCUUCGGGAACUCUGAGACAGGUGCUGCAUGGCUGUCGUCAGCUCGUGUUGUGAAAUGUUGGGUUAAGUCCCGCAACGAGCGCAACCCUUAUCCUUUGUUGCCAGCGGUUCGGCCGGGAACUCAAAGGAGACUGCCGGUGAUAAACCGGAGGAAGGUGGGGAUGACGUCAAGUCAUCAUGGCCCUUACGGCCAGGGCUACACACGUGCUACAAUGGCGCAUACAAAGAGAAGCGACCUCGCGAGAGCAAGCGGACCUCAUAAAGUGCGUCGUAGUCCGGAUUGGAGUCUGCAACUCGACUCCAUGAAGUCGGAAUCGCUAGUAAUCGUAGAUCAGAAUGCUACGGUGAAUACGUUCCCGGGCCUUGUACACACCGCCCGUCACACCAUGGGAGUGGGUUGCAGAAGAAGUAGGUAGCUUAACCUCCGGGAGGGCGCUUACCACUUUGUGAUUCAUGACUGGGGUGAAGUCGUAACAAGGUAACCAAGGGCGAAUUCCAG